GGUCUCAGAAGCUCUCAGAGGCUGUUUAAUUAAACUUCCAUAUCUUCAUAUGAACUUUCAGAAUAAUGAAUUUAAUGAAUUUAGUUGGAGCUCUGACACAGUUUGGUCAAAGAGAUCAACCCAAUCACUGCUAAGGGUUGGUAGCCUGUUUUAACUAGUUGGCUUGAAAGAUAAGGUUGGCUGCUGCCCUGAUAUUACGAACAGCAGGAUUCCUUGGCUGUGGGGAAAAUGAGAUGGUCCAGCUGAUUGAAGUUAUGACUGAGCCAAGAUGAGUCAAUUACCUCGAUGUGCUGAGCAGCCAUCCAGAGUACGGCAGAGAGGAGAAAUGCCAGGGUUUGUACUUUCCACUCUGACAACAAACAGCUGCAGAGCUGUGAUGAGGGAGAGGAGCUGCGAUCAUCAUCAGUCUGGGCGAAUGAAAAUCCUGAGCAACAAUCUAUAACUUGGACUAUUUAUUGGUCAAAAAGAAAAGGCCUUUGACUUCCACUGCAUCUGAUGGUAAACUAAUACUUCUGUUUUCUGAUUGCUAGUCCAUCAAUUUAGCCCAGCUGCCAUUACCUUCUUCCUUAAUUUCUGAUACUCAAAGCACCACUGAAAUCUUUAAUAAGUGAGGUUUUU
RNAcentral lists this long non-coding RNA (618 nucleotides) under Anser brachyrhynchus (Pink-footed goose). RNAcentral describes it as "lncRNA (ENSABRG00000021266.1)". Lineage: Eukaryota; Metazoa; Chordata; Aves; Anseriformes; Anatidae. The record is from RNAcentral.